AGAGAACAGUCAAGCUAUGAGCAAUAGAGACCUAGUGUAACAAUAAAUACUAUUUCACAUAAGAAAUAGAAAGUGCAGGAAUGUGACUGCUCUAAGUGCAAGUUAAGUACUAGUAGAAGUGCAAGUUUAGGAAGGGAGGUGCUCUCUGAAGAGUUGGGUCUUCUUAAAGGUAGAGAGCCUUUAGGUGGAGUGUGUAGCAUGGCCGCUGUGAGUACUGGGCGUGCUCUGCCGUAGCAUGGCGGCCUGUCAGGGGGUGAUUAAUAGGCUUUGGCAGGUAUCUUCCCAAUCUGAACACAAAUACAAUGGGCGGGGAAGCACUUGCGUUUGAUCGAGGGUGGACUGCGGGGUGUUUCCGGGUGAAUACCUGAGCUGUGUGUGUCAACAGUGAGCCUAGACUUGGCUUUAAACUAGCUUACAUGGAGGGUAAAUAUCUGCGAAGAUGUUGGUUUCAUCCACUUUGAAGUCUGUUGCAUGCCGUGUGAAAACAGACCGCAUGAGAAAAGUGAUAGUCAGUCAGCUGCAGUUCAUAACAUGUGUGAACCUUCUGUUCUGAACCUCAAGGCAACUCUUGUCUCACAGUGACAUUUAAAAGUCAUACUCUGCACCAUUUGUUUGCUGCUGUUGUCACCUCUCAUACAUGGCAAAUUACUACUACUACUACUACUACUACUGCUAAUAAUAAUAACUAGACGUACCACAUAUCAGUGUGUAAUAUGACAGAAAGUGAGAGAAUGAACAACAAUUAAGUGAAAUAAUUCCGUUCCGUUUCCGGCAAAAAUAGACUAAAGACAUUUGCUCAGAUCUAGUGUUCCAUUUGGCUCACUCAACAAAAUGUAAUACGUUUAAAUAUAGCCACAAGCAGCGAUCAGGGGUCCAAACGGAUGUGUGAACUUCCCAAGGUAGCGCAAGGUUGAAUGAUUAAACCACCUCAGCAGGUGAAAGAGGACCAUUUGAAUAUUUUAAAUGCUACAUAAGGAUUUAAAGACAAAAUUAAUUUUGAAGACCAAACCAUGUGAGAGGAACAGAUAAAGACAUGUCGUAGCUUGCUGUCGUGUCAUCUUAUGGCUUAUUUGUUUGAAAUUGGGUAAAUCGCUUCUAUAUGCUAUUAUGAAUUCGUCAUUCACACAGGCAUGCAUUGAUUGGCCGUUGGCAGCCAUUUUGUUGAGUGAGCCAAAUGGAACACUAGAUCUGAGCAAAUGUAGCCAAUUGUAAACAUACCAAAUUUAAAAAUGUUUAGCUUAAGCGGUACUUGGGAUAUUGAAAUGUGCACUUAAUGUACUGUCUCCAUUUUGUAAACCAUCAGUUUUCUUGCCCCUCAGUUUAGGGAGAGCGCAGACAUGAAAUGGGUUUAAGAUGAGUGUGUCAGAUUCUCUGUCUCUGUGCGAGGUAUGCGUCUCAGACGUGACCAGGGCCCGCCGAGUCUCCCUGUCACACUGUUUUCUUCAGCAGUCCCCAGGGGGAGGGGAAGUCCAUGUUCAAAAACAAGCAAAUGUUUAUGGUACUGUUUGUAAUCUUAGAUCUAUAGUCUAUAAUUGUGGUUUACAACUGUUAAUCAACCAUACGUAUUAGCACAACCAAGAGGUAGACUUAUAAAUGCCAAUUGGGGUAUUGGCUGAACUAUGCUAGUUUACUUAACCCCUAAGUUUGGAGUUUUUUUAAGUUAAAAACCUGGUUCACGCCUUCAGGUUUAAAAAUGUUCACCCUUGAGGAGUGAAUAAAGUCAGCUGGACUAUGCAUACAGGCCUACAGGUGGAAUGACAAUACAUAUUAAGGGUAUUUCUAAACUAGACUAGCAUCACCAAAGAAAGCAUUCUCCUUCUUCCUCCAUACUUGAUCUCCAAACUUGAUGUCAGUGAUAAUAUCCAGUGAUCCUGCGACACAUAACACAGGCAAUGCUCAAUUACAGGGGCUUUCUGGGAAAAUCAUACAACCUAAUUGCAGCCUAACGGCCGAUGUUUCAAAUUGUGCAUGUGCAGCAGGCCUCGCCCCAGAUAGGGAUCAAAAACACCACACAAGAGCGCUGGGAAUCUGCCACCGGUCACAGAACUAAACGGUCACAAAAUUGUCCUCCAGCGAUGGGCCAGUUGUUGUGGUUGUUGUGUGUGUCCCCCCCCCCCCCCCCGCGCCACACACACACACACACACACAGACACAAAGUUAUGCCCCUCUGACUCAGCCCCUUGAGGCAGUAGUGAUCACAGAUCACAAAACAAACAACCGAGGUCUGCUGUUUUCAAAAGCAUUUCCAUCUUGUUGAUGUUAACCCCAAAAAACACAUGUUUGUAUCAGUUUCUUUAAUUGAGAAAUACUAAAAUAAUGAUAGUGAUCAAAAGUGUCUUUUUUUUCAGUGGAGGCAUCUGUCACAACAUCGCACUCUCUUACAGUCCACAAAACAAAGAAACACUUGAAAACAACCCCAUGUAUGGGAGAGGUCACAUUCUCUAGCAUUUCACGCUUGGCACAGGCUCACGCACAACACAACAAACCCCCAGAAACUCUUGCACUCAGCACUAUUGUUUUAACCUUUGGCAUAGUUUCAUGGGUAGCAUUUUCCUAAUUGCGUUCAUUCCUCAUCCACUGUCUUGUAGUCGUGAUCCCUAACGAACCCAUUGUCAGCCAACAUUGCGCUCGAUCCCUGGGGGCUUGAACAUGCCCUCAUGUUCUCACUGCUCCGUGAAGAUGGUGACUGAGGUGCGCUGGUGUGAGGGCUUGUUUUUGUUUCAUCAAAAACAGGAAACGAAGGUGGGGA
Molecule: long non-coding RNA, 2749 nt
Organism: Clupea harengus (Atlantic herring)
Lineage: Eukaryota; Metazoa; Chordata; Actinopteri; Clupeiformes; Clupeidae
Source: Ensembl